UGUGUGGGUGUGUGGCUGUGAGCUUGUGAGCUUGGGUUGAGUCACAGUUACAAUAAUGACUCUGGCAAAGAAGUGGACAAACAGCUUGAACUAACUGUAAAGACAGAGAGAGAGAGAGAGAGAGAGAGAGAGAGCGGGCGAGCGAGAGGGGGCUGUGCUUUCCGUGGCAUCUCCAUCUUAUAACUCCUGUGCUACUCAGUGCAUCCACACAUACACCACACACACACACACACACACACACACACACACAGGCACUGAUAUAGAGGAUACAGUAUAUCAGUUUAGUGCUGUGUGGGUCAGAGCUGUCGUUCAGUGGAAGCAGUGAAGUGUUGUGAAGACAUCAUGUGUCGUGUGGUGGAUAAUGGAUCAUCUGCAACAGGUUGGGCUCAUACGGUCUUUCGUUUGGCCCUGGCUUGCGAUGUAACCACGCCCCCUGCUGUUUGUAUGUAGAACAGCACAUGGAGCAGUGAGAGGAACAAACAGACGACUUCCCUCUUCAGACAACUUUCGACCUACAUCUGCAUCCAAUCAGCAGCCACGAGUCUCACUUAUUACACAACAUCAGGAGUCACUUCUUCUCCAUACAACAUGUCCUGUGUAUAUUUGGCCUGAUGCACUUUAACGUCUUUAACAAUGUGGAGACUUGUUGAGUAAAGAACUGCUCUCAGAAACUGAUUUCAUCUGGUGACAUAGAUGUGUGUAUCCAGUCUCUAGCACCAUAUGAAAUCAGUGUUUUGGGAGGUGGACUAUCAGCAUGUGCAGCGUCUGUACAGGAGUAAAGUCAAACACAACAUGGUCGUGUGUAGAUGCCUAAAAGUAGGUCACAUAUGUAUAAAUUAUUGUAUUUUCUCCUGCUUCGUUCACUAACUGCUCACAGAUGCUAUCGUACUUUAACCUUUUUUUUUAUCCUGCCUGUCUCUCAUUUACUCGACAUAUAUUAUUAUAAUGAGUCCACUUUUAUUCAUGUAGGAAAUCUUAUUCAAUUUAUAUUACAUUAAAUGUUAUGCACUUUCUAAACUAUUUAACUUCUCCUAAAAGGUGGCCACAACUGACCAUUAGGAGAUAAUGGCAAACAUAAGGUGCAGUCACUUAGACAAUAAUAUCUAAGUUAGUUUAACGUAAGCUUUGACUUGGCAGAAAAACUCCUCUGUGUUUUGAAUUUAGCAACAGUGAAUUGUUUUAUUUAUGAAUGAAUCCUUUCUUCAGUAAGAACAAGCUGCUUUCUCUCAUUUCACAAGUUACCUACUUUUCUUUGAAGGCUCAUCUAGGAUUUAAAUCUGGCAGCUACCAUUGCAUCAUUUCCUUUAAUAUAAUGGUUGUAUGUUACAGCUACAAUGUAAACAAUUUUGAGGUGAUUUUUUUUUAAACUGAAAGAACCUGUAUAUGCUGUAAUAAAGGUUUCAAAAUUA
Pleuronectes platessa (European plaice) is the source of this 1409-nucleotide long non-coding RNA. RefSeq lists it as uncharacterized. Lineage: Eukaryota; Metazoa; Chordata; Actinopteri; Pleuronectiformes; Pleuronectidae. The transcript has 2 exons. The record is from RefSeq and is a predicted model, not a curated record.